Xyrauchen texanus (razorback sucker) is the source of this 470-nucleotide long non-coding RNA. RefSeq lists it as uncharacterized. Lineage: Eukaryota; Metazoa; Chordata; Actinopteri; Cypriniformes; Catostomidae. The transcript has 3 exons. The record is from RefSeq and is a predicted model, not a curated record.
CUUGUUACACCGCAUGGAUGAACUCGACGUGGGAAAACGGGAAUCAAGAAAAUUGGAUAGGGUACUGCUGAACAACAAUUAGGACUGGUCCUUUUAAUUAUUGCUUUGGAGGGUCAGAAUCUGUUAGCAUGUCAGGAAGAAGACCUGCCAAGCUUUUGGUGAUUGUGGGUCAAGAUGAUUCAAGAAAGUUGCUUCUGCCAGAUGGGAUUCCCAAAUCAGUGGAUGAGCUCAGUGAAAAAGUGAGGGAAGCUUUUGGAUUAAAUUGUAGAUUCAGACUACAGUAUCAGGACAAAGAUUUUGGGGAUGUAUUUGUAAAUUUGAUGAACACUGUAGAACUUCAGAGUCUUGGCACUCUAAAGAUUAUCCCAUUGCAAGACGAAGACUCAUUCACUGCUCAAACAAAUGAUGGGACCCAGACUAAUGAUGAUGCUCUGUCCUCCGUUGGCUCUGUCGACACUGAUGAUACAAUC